RNAcentral lists this long non-coding RNA (3433 nucleotides) under Heterocephalus glaber (naked mole-rat). Its description in RNAcentral is "lncRNA (ENSHGLG00000034567.1)". Lineage: Eukaryota; Metazoa; Chordata; Mammalia; Rodentia; Bathyergidae. The record is from RNAcentral.
CCUGUCCCCUCUGCACCUCAUUUGCCCCCGUGUGAAAAAACAGCAUCCAACCCAGCUUCUCUGAGGGACCAGGAGUGACACUUGAAUCUGUCCCGUGUCUUGAGCCCUUCCUCUCUACCAGGCACGUUGCUAGGUGGCUUCGGACAUCAUGUCCUAUAACCCUGUCACCAGCCCUUCAGGGCCCUGCGCUACAGAAGAAGAAAUGGGGCAGACAGUUGGAGUGAGUGACUCGAGGCCACGCAGCCAGUGGUUCAAGCACUUGCCGGCCCCAGAUGUGGGUCCAGGUGUUGGUAGCAGUGUUUCAUUUGGCAGGUCCUGGAGAAUGUGACUUUGGUCCUAGAACCUGGCAGAAAGGAGGACAGGAGGGGGGAAGGGUUGAAGAGGAGGUUGCUUUGCCAAGGACAGCACUGAAGGCUAUCCGUGGGAGGGCAAGAGGGAGCUUUGUGGCUGUUGUUGUGGGUACUGCCUCAGGGCCUUUGCACAUGUUGUUCCCAUGUCCUGGAGUACUCUUCCCCGACUUGGGCUCUUCCUCUGUUUCUUUCGCUUUCUUUUCCAGCUCUGCCCACGUAUCAUCGCCCCCCACCCGCUCCUGUUGUCCUCUCCGUCACUCUAUUUGGUUUUCCUGCAGAACACUUCCCACUGCCUGGCAGGCUCUGUCAUCAGCCCCUCGGUCCCCGUCUGCCUCAGGAGCGGGGACACCUGUCUGGCAGUGACCCAGAUCUUCGGAAGUAGGAAGGGCUUCUCCUGGCAGAGCUGUCUCCUGGGUCCUUGCUCUUCCCCCUCAGGACACGGAGGUCACAGGUGCCGGAAGGUACUGCUGACAUCCCUGCUAGGAGCUGCUGGCCCCAGGCUCCCCCCACAUGUCCAGAAGCGUGUGGCUGUUGCCCAGGUGGCAGGAGUGGAAGCUCCCUUUGGGCCUGGCGGUGCCAGCAGCAAAGGGCACUUGCUGACCUGGUUCUGUGCUCUGCCGUGGGGUUUGGUGAUCAGAGCCUGUGGUCCUGAAUGCUGCAGUUCACGCUGCCAACUUUUUGGGGUAUUGGGGAUUGAACCCAAGGCCUUUGCACUGAGCUACAUCCCCAGCCCUUUCCAUCCGCACCCCUGAUGUGCAUCUCCCGCUCCCCAGUGUGGCUCCCGAUCCUGCUCCCUGCCCGCCCAUUCUGCUCUUUUGUUCCCUCAUAGGUGGCUGUGUGCUGAGCUCCCCUCUUGCCAGGGCUGGAUGCCCAGCAGGAGGCCAGGGGUGCGGUGGGCACCCCCAGAACGCUCUUCCAUCAAGCUUGGACCCCCGGGGUGUGGGGUGUCAGGCACAGCUGCUGGAGUGGAGGGGACCCACUGCUGGGGUUUGUUCCAAAUGCCUGCAGGAUGUUGAUCUCCAGUGUCAUAAACUAAGGGCAUUAUGAGGGCGGAAAUGCAAUCCAACUCCAGUGUUAAGGUGGGGACUUUGGAGAGGGAUUAGGUUAGUUAGGAUGAUUAGGAUGGAGCCCAUGAUCAAGUCCUGGUGGCUUUGAGAGAGACUGAGCAAACAGCUCACAGACACACUCAUGCACACAUGUGAUGCCAUGUCCUGCCUCUUUUCUUCCUUUUUUUUUCUGAGACAGGGUCUCAUGGCAAUCCUCCUGCUUCAGCCUCCCAAAUGCUGGGAUACAGGCAUGUGCCUCUAAGCCUGGCCAACCUCUUUUCUUUGUAAGUGUCCUGCCUUAGGUGUCUUGUUAUAGUGAUGGCAGGAGGACUGAUACACUCACACUGUCGGAUGUGUCCUCACCCAGGAUUCCUUCCAGCAGCAAGAGGUUUGCAGACAUCUGAAGACCUUGAAUGGAGACCUAAGGAGAGAUCUGUGGAGCCAUCUGUUUCCAAGCAGAAGAUACAGCAUGUACAAAGGCCCCGAGACCUGGCCGCAGGCCCCUCCCCUCCGGGUGGGCUCCGGAGCUUCCAGCACACUGGAGCUGGGCAGCCCUGAGUCAGUCACAGUGGGCAGACGAAGCUCCCGUCCCCGAACACAUGGGGCUCCGCUGUGUCCUUCCGAUCCGAUCCGUGGAUGCCUCCGAGGAGAGCAGCUCGGCUCCUUAAUUCUCUUCCGCUCUCCCUACUGAAUGAGCCCCUCAGAGGAAGGCAGGGGUCCCGCCACCCCUUCUUCCUGCCAGGCUCCCCGAACCAGGUGGUGGGAGAGGCUGCUCCCCUUUGCUGGAGGUCCCUGCCCGACGUCCACACAUAAGACAACCUGUCCAGCGAGGCUUUUGUGAGCCACUAGAGCCACCCUACAGCUCACCUGGGCAGCAUGUAGGACAGUUCUGUCCCCUCGGUGCCCCGUGUUCUGGAUUCCCGUCCCCAGCUUACUGUCCUGACCCUGACAGUCCCAGCUCCUGCCUUCUCCAGCGCUUCCUGCCAGCUCUCUGUGUGGCUCACAAGAUUCCUGUCCCUCUGGUCGCUCCACUGACGCGGGGAAGGCUGGGCCUCGUUUGUCCUCCGUCCUGGGCUCCUGACACCCUGCUACUCCCUAGCUGCAUCCACCGUCAGCACCUACUCCAUCACCCACCCAAUCCCUUCUUGUCCCGGUGACUGUGACGACCCUCUGUGGGGUCUCCUGCUUCUGCAGCUGCUCCAGGGGCAGCAGAGUGAGUCUCACAAUGUGCGUUAAGAUUGUCACUCUCACCUAAAUUCUUCAAUGACUUCCCAGCGCUCUCACCUUAGAACGCGAACUCCCUACUGUGGCUUACCUGACCCAGCCCGUGUCAUCUGGUGCCAACCUUCCUUGAAUCGCUCCGUCCCCUGCUUGCUUUGCAAUAAACUCAUCACCACCUCAGAAUCUUUGCAUUUGCUGGGCCUGCUGCUGAAAUGCUCUCUCUCUAGAGCCUCUCUUGCUUGCCUCUUCUCAUGCCCUGGGUCAUGGCUGGAACGUCCCCUCCACCUGUCUGAAGCAGUCCCCAUGUCCUGGGCAGUCACCUUGCACCUUCUUCUGUCUAUUCUGAUUCCCUCUGAGGAGUUACCCAGUCUGUGACCACUUGACUCAUGAUGUUGUCUGUGUCCUCCAUGGGUGAGGCCUUGGUUCCAGGACAUCGUGUAUCUGGCACCUAAGAUUCACCUACGAAAUACUCAACGAGCGGGUGAGUGAACGAAUGAAUGGAAGCUGAUCCUGACACUGAGUAGAUUCAGCUUGAAGCUCACCUGUCUCCUGUCCCAUUUCUUUCAAAGAUUCCUACAGCCAAGGACUAAUGAAGAAUUUAUUUGUGCUCAUGAAUAUGUAUUAGGUCUUUCACGAUAAGAUGUGCAUAUUUUAAUAAGGAAUGUCUAGAGACACAAUUUUUAAGUUGAGGGACAUCAGCCCAAUAACAAGGAGGUAAAAUGCUGCUGAGUGUAGCGUGGCUGUGUAGGACAUAAGGGCCCUGACCAGCAUCAGGUCAUAGAACUUGUGGCCUCUGGGGUGCAGUGGGGGGGGGGG